UGCUGCUCAGAGGGCCCCUCACCAUGGUUACUGCCCACCCACGACUCUGCUCAGAGGUGGGCAUUGUUUGGCCGCCAAAGUAUGGCAUGCACCCAAGAGACCAAGGGCCUGGCUGGCACGGUCAGUUCAGCAGGUCUUUAGCCCCGGAUGUGGAGCAGAGCCCUUUCUCACGCUCAGCCUCCCAGAUGCUCUGGGAAGGAAUGAGAGAACCUCCUUGCAGCCAUGAGAUAACUACAGAACCUUACAUCACCUGUUUGCAGAAAACAAGGGAGACAAAGGGAGGAUGUUUCCUGCACCACUGUUACUGAGCAUUAUACUGGAGGCUCUGCCCAGUGUGAUAAGAUCCUAGAGGUGCCCAGCCAGAACCUUCACUCCUUCCAUGGCCCUCCCAAGCAGUUGCGUGAGCAGCCAAAUCACAGCAACGUGCUGAAGAGAAAGGAGAGCCAGCAGGUCAGCUUCAAGGGGAGGCUUCUGCAGGUUGGUGACCCCGGGUCUCCUCUGGACACUGAUGAAGGACUGGGGAGGAGCCUGAGGUGGGAUUGGGAGGCUUCCCCCGACCCCGACCCCUAACUCCCCGUAACUACAAGGAGGGUCCUGGACACCAGCACUCUGACCUCGGCCGUGCUAGUCUGUCUGCACUUUGGUUGGCAUCCUGGGCAAUCGCGUUGGCCAACCUGCCUGAGUUCAGGGCUGGGGACAACAUAAAUGAGGGAAGCCAGCCAGGUGGCUCCAACAAUGGGGGAAAGAUUGUGGCCUGGAAGAUGCCUGCCCAUCCCCUGGCACUCACAUCGUUCCCUGGGAGAGGCCAGCAUCAGUCUCAGCGUUUGGCACUGCAUUGGGCCUUCCUGUGGCCCAGUCAGCUUCCCCAGUGAUGUCCAAGGUCCUUGUGGCUUUUUGGGAUAGCACUCCAGCGGCCAGCGGAGAGCCAGGGUAAAGGGCCUCCCCUGGGAAGCAGCUGUCCUCUGCUUUGCAGCCAGACUGCCAGAACUUCCAGAGGACUGUCUUGAACCCACUGGCCAGAAGCCCUGAGGGCCUCAGAAAAAGUCUAUACUUCUGGGCUCUCUCUGUGAAGUAGCCCACAGCUCUGUCUUACCUCACCCCUGUAAGUGCACCUACCCCACGUCUCCAGGCCAGGCCAUCCCAGCAUCACCUAGGAUGGAUCCGCCAAGCAGAGUUGCAGAGCAUCAGCACUGGUACCUGUGUCUGUUCCAAUUCCAGCAGGGAUGCAGGGAUGCAGGACAGGAGGGCCUGCAGCCAUGGACCCAACACCUCACUGGGUCAUCUUGCACCAGGGCUUCUUUUUGGUUAUGUUCUUGAGCUCUGUCCCUAGGGAGGAUUACUGUGUCACCAAGUUAGAAAUGACAUCUGUAAGUUGCUUGGAACACUAGAGCUCACAGGCCACUGCCUUGGACCUCAUCACCAUCGUGCCUAGUGAGGAACUAGAAGCUAAAGGCAGGUGUGUUAAGCCCCCCUGCAUGCUGACCAGAUAACCCUAUGUGACACACAGGCAUGUGAACCCCAUGGGACAGGCUGUGGCUCAGGGACACACUUGAGGCAAGGUCUUUUUGGCUUCCUGGAGGGCCACUUCUCCAGCUGCAAAAGGGUUAAUGCCUGGGCCAAAUCCUGGCUGGAGAGGGUUUCCUGAGAGCCUGAGAUUUUCCUCUCUCCUCCCUUCCUCUGGACUUUCUGCCAGUCUGGCCAGCACUCUCAGAGCACAUGGCUCACACCCACCCAGGACAUGAGGCUGGCUUUCAGCUAUAUGUCCUUUCUGCCAAUUCCCCACUUUUCC
Nycticebus coucang (slow loris) is the source of this 1789-nucleotide long non-coding RNA. RefSeq lists it as uncharacterized. NCBI's taxonomy places the organism in Eukaryota, Metazoa, Chordata, Mammalia, Primates, Lorisidae. The transcript is spliced from 4 exons. The record is from RefSeq and is a predicted model, not a curated record.